This 23-nucleotide non-coding RNA is filed under the name Cricetulus griseus (Chinese hamster). Lineage: Eukaryota; Metazoa; Chordata; Mammalia; Rodentia; Cricetidae. The record is from RNAcentral.
AACCAGAGGGACACUAGAAGAGA